UCGAGAAUCUUCGGCAAUGGACGCAAGUCUGACCGAGCGACGCCGCGUGCGGGAUGAAGGCCUUCGGGUUGUAAACCGCUGUCGUAGGGGAGGAAAUUCCGGAGGGUACUCCCUCCGGAUUGACUGAUCCUAGGAGGAAGGACCGGCUAAUCUCGUGCCAGCAGCCGCGGUAAUACGAGAGGUCCAAACGUUAUUCGGAAUCACUGGGCUUACAGAGUUCGUAGGCGGUUCUACAAGUGGGGUGUGAAAGCCCUCGGCUCAACCGAGGAACUGCGCUCCAAACUGUAGAACUAGAGGAAGAUAGAGGUGAGCGGAACUGAUGGUGGAGCGGUGAAAUGCGUUGAUAUCAUCAGGAACACCGGAGGCGAAGGCGGCUCACUGGGUCUUUUCUGACGCUGAGGAACGAAAGCUAGGGGAGCAAACG
RNAcentral lists this ribosomal RNA (424 nucleotides) under uncultured Pirellula sp. RNAcentral's name for it is "partial 16S ribosomal RNA". It matches the Rfam family "Bacterial small subunit ribosomal RNA", at positions 355 to 774 of the family's 1533-position model. The record is from RNAcentral. Lineage: Bacteria; Pseudomonadati; Planctomycetota; Planctomycetia; Pirellulales; Pirellulaceae.